GUACGAUGAUGACCAACUUAGGACACCUUUGUAGGUUAAGACCUAUGAAAACACACCAUGUUCCGAGUACA
Small nucleolar RNA from Carassius auratus (goldfish), 71 nucleotides. Its record names the gene SNORD58. It matches the Rfam family "Small nucleolar RNA SNORD58". From Rfam's summary of the family: snoRNA U58 is found in introns 1, 3 and 6 of the ribosomal protein RPL17 gene in humans. U58 is a member of the C/D class of snoRNA which contain C (UGAUGA) and D (CUGA) box motifs. The record is from Ensembl. Lineage: Eukaryota; Metazoa; Chordata; Actinopteri; Cypriniformes; Cyprinidae.